This 373-nucleotide ribosomal RNA is filed under the name uncultured bacterium. RNAcentral's name for it is "bacterial SSU rRNA". It matches the Rfam family "Bacterial small subunit ribosomal RNA", at positions 527 to 898 of the family's 1533-position model. The record is from RNAcentral.
AGAGGGGGCAAGCGUUGCUCGGAAUCACUGGGCGUAAAGGGCGCGUAGGCGGGAUGGCAAGUCAGUCGUGAAAUCUCUCGGCUCAACCGAGAAACGUCGGCUGAUACUGCCGUUCUUGAGGGAUGCAGAGGAGACUGGAAUUCCCGGUGUAGCGGUGAAAUGUGUAGAGAUCGGGAGGAACACCGGUGGCGAAGGCGGGUCUCUGGGCAUCUCCUGACGCUGAGGCGCGAAAGCGUGGGGAGCAAACGGGAUUAGAUACCCCGGUAGUCCACGCUGUAAACGAUGACGACUAGGUGUGGGGUGGUUCAGUCCAUUCCGUGCCGCAGCUAACGCAUUAAGUCGUCCGCCUGGGGAGUACGGCCGCAAGGUUGAA